RNAcentral lists this ribosomal RNA (512 nucleotides) under uncultured bacterium. RNAcentral's name for it is "partial 16S ribosomal RNA". It matches the Rfam family "Bacterial small subunit ribosomal RNA", at positions 28 to 523 of the family's 1533-position model. The record is from RNAcentral.
GAUGAACGCUGGCGGCGUGCCUAAUACAUGCAAGUCGAGCGAAUGAUGAGGAGCUUGCUCCUCUGAUUUAGCGGCGGACGGGUGAGUAACACGUGGGUAACCUGCCUGUAAGAUGGGGAUAACUCCGGGAAACCGGGGCUAAUACCGAAUAAUAAAAGAGGACGCAUUUCUUCUUUUUGAAAGUUGGUUUCGGCUAACACUUACAGAUGGGCCCGCGGCGCAUUCGCUAGUUGGUGAGGUAACGGCUCACCAAGGCGACGAUGCGUAGCCGACCUGAGAGGGUGAUCGGCCACACUGGGACUGAGACACGGCCCAGACUCCUACGGGAGGCAGCAGUAGGGAAUCUUCGGCAAUGGGCGAAAGCCUGACCGAGCAACGCCGCGUGAGCGAGGAAGGCCUUCGGGUCGUAAAGCUCUGUUGCCAGGGAAGAACAAGUACGAGAGUAACUGCUCGUACCUUGACGGUACCUGACCAGAAAGCCACGGCUAACUACGUGCCAGCCGCCGCAGUAA